RNAcentral lists this transfer RNA (73 nucleotides) under Auricularia heimuer. Its description in RNAcentral is "tRNA-Phe". It matches the Rfam family "tRNA". From Rfam's summary of the family: Transfer RNA (tRNA) molecules are approximately 80 nucleotides in length. Their secondary structure includes four short double-helical elements and three loops (D, anti-codon, and T loops). Further hydrogen bonds mediate the characteristic L-shaped molecular structure. tRNAs have two regions of fundamental functional importance: the anti-codon, which is responsible for specific mRNA codon recognition, and the 3' end, to which the tRNAs corresponding amino acid is attached (by aminoacyl-tRNA synthetases). tRNAs cope with the degeneracy of the genetic code in two manners: having more than one tRNA (with a specific anti-codon) for a particular amino acid; and 'wobble' base-pairing, i.e. permitting non-standard base-pairing at the 3rd anti-codon position. The record is from RNAcentral. Lineage: Eukaryota; Fungi; Basidiomycota; Agaricomycetes; Auriculariales; Auriculariaceae.
GCCUUGGUCGCUUAAAUGGUUAAAGCAUUACUCUGAAGAAGUAGAGCAGGGAGUUCAAUACUCUCCCAGGGCA